AAUAAGUUUAUUUUUCAGUUUUUGAUAUAAUGUUUUGACUUUGUUUUAUUUGAAAUUUUUUUACGAUUAAUAUUUUUAUUAUUGCUAGAUGGUAAAACAUAAAUAGUACUGUAUACAUGACUAAUUGUUUUAAGUUUUUUACAAAACAUUUAAAUAAGAUGAAUGGUCAAACUUUGGACACAGAAAU
RNAcentral lists this microRNA precursor (187 nucleotides) under Oryza brachyantha (malo sina). RNAcentral's name for it is "MIR812 microRNA precursor family". It matches the Rfam family "MIR812 microRNA precursor family". Lineage: Eukaryota; Viridiplantae; Streptophyta; Magnoliopsida; Poales; Poaceae. The record is from Rfam by way of RNAcentral.